CUAGGGAUCCCGUGGUUCUUGGCUUGGCCAGCAGCUUAAUCGGCGGCUGCAUGUUGAUUAUAACCCUUAAUUAGUAGAGAAUUAACGAUCUAAUCCUAGAUUAUCGCCAAAACGUUCAGAUAGAAUUUGGCGGGACCAGUUGUAGAUGCUCUUAGUAAGUAAAAAUUCACUAUCGGGUCAAAAAGCAAGCCGAACAACAAUGCAUGGAAUUGCCAUUGAGAUUUUCAAUCCAUUUUCCUAUAGUGGUUACAAAGCAGGAGUUGAACAAAGUGCGACAUCGCACAGACCGGGCUGCAUGAAACCCGUUUUACCAAAAAAUCAUAAUAUACUUAAAUGUUUUAGAAAAUGUCAUUUUUUAUAUAAAUACAUACGCAUGGUCAUCAAAUAUGUAAAAAGUUUCAUUAGGUAAUUCGAUUAUUUGCAUUCUACACAGAAAAUAUGAAUAUCUGGCCCAAAAACAACAAAGACAAAGCCCAUUUUAAUGUGUGUAUUUAUCUUUUCUGUAUAUGUUACAUCAGAGCAUAUAUGUUUAUGGAAAUUUGUAUGUGUGUACUACAAAUACACAUCUAUGUAUAUAGUUUUUUCAGAUUUUUUUCAGUGUGCGGAAAUAGUAUUUUGCCUGAAAAAAAUAAAGAGCUAUGUGGAGCUCGGUCUCUUCGGUGCUUUUUUGAAAUUGAACAAUUGUACAUAAAAUUGUAGUGCUUGAGAUCUUCAAUCAAAUUUCCUAUAGUAAAAUCAUCCUCUCACAGAAGUGGGAAGGAAAGAUUAAUUAGUAAUUUUUAGCGGGAGAUUAAUUAGAGAAUUGACAAAUUAUAUUCAAAUAGAACUCACAACAAACACCAAAAAUGCAAAGUCCACCACUAUGUUGCAUAGUUUUAGAGCAUUGUAUACCACAUACUUGAUACUCAUUGAUGAUUUAGUUUAUAACGCGUGUUCAAAAAUGCAUUAGGAGCUCAUAUUCUCCAUGCAUGGCCUCAGCCAAGACUACGAUUGAGGAACAAAAAUAAGAGAAGACCCGAUCAUCACUAGAUUGAAGUAAAUGCAUGUUAACAAAUAUAAAAUUACGAGAGGUAUAUUCUACCAUGAAUAAAGAAGACCCGAUCUGAAUUGCUGCAUCUUUUAUGGCUUGGUGAAAACAAGGGAGUACACAUGCACAGACCACAAAUGUUCCUGAUCUGAACCACGUCCUUCACCUCGCCUCCUCGUCUCAGCGCGUGCCAUCUGAAGCACCUCACCGCCUUCACCCUCGGUCUGCGUGUCUGCACUGCCUGGCUUUGGCCACGGCGCAAUGCACGGGCCUGCGCCUGCGCCUGCGCCUGUAGCAGCCGCCUCGGGCUCCAAGCUCCUCGUUGUGCAGUAAGCCUAGAGCCAAGUGCACCGGACCAUGUAAGCAUUGUAUCCUUGUCUCAAAAAAAAUGCAAGCAUUGCAUCCCGAUCAAAUCUCUCUUUUUUCUUUUCUCAUCAUCUGAUCCGAUCCAAUCUCUUCAUUUAUUUUCGUCUUUGGAGCCUUUAUAUUUAACAAGACUGAGAUUGUUGUACCUAGACGACCUGGCAAAAGAGGAAUACAAGGGCAACAACAGUGGACCCAAAUUAAAGGUGGGAGCGCUUCAUGAAGAAAAGAUGAGAGUGAUCCCAUUGCCUCCUAUCUUGGCUCUGCAACCGCAUGCACGAGCCUUCCCACCAUGCAAAGACCCCGAUGAGGCGUACCUGCGGAAGUGGCGGCCUAGGUUUAGGGUCGGAUCCAUUGCCGCGCCGAAUGAUUGGAGCUCAACCCAGAUCGUGGUGCGUCAAACUUGUUCAAGAACUGGUGCAUGAACCGCUCGCCGGCAGCGACAACGGGGAGGAGGUCAUCGGAUCGGGUCAAAGCCCUGCUGGUGGCAUCUCCACCUUCGAGCUAGAAAACCAAUGUCUCGCCGUCCCACAGCCCGAAGGAUAGGAGAGCAAGAAUGGGGGUGGAGAUAGCAGGAGGGAAGACGUGCGUGCCUAUGUUGGGGCUAGGUUGGGCGGUUGGUGAUUGCAUAGGGGAGACUGUCUGCAUGGGUAGUUUUUUUUUUCUUUUGGUUUAAAAUUUAAAUCACUCUAAACCAGACGUGGG
RNAcentral lists this long non-coding RNA (2095 nucleotides) under Hordeum vulgare. Its description in RNAcentral is "long non-coding RNA (HVUL_LNC001519)". Lineage: Eukaryota; Viridiplantae; Streptophyta; Magnoliopsida; Poales; Poaceae. The record is from RNAcentral.